GUGGGUAAUCUACCUCGGGGACGUGGAUAGCCAUUCUAACGAGUGGGUAAUACGCGGCGAUUUGGUUGGGGGGCAUCCCUUGGCCAGGAAAUGAAUUUCGCCUCGAGAGGAACUCACGUGAUAUUAGCUAGUUGGCGGGGUAACGGCCCACCAAGGCAAAGAUGUCUAGCGGGUGUGAGAGCACGACCCGCGCCACUGGCACUGAGACACUGGCCAGACACCUACGGGUGGCUGCAGUCGAGGAUCUUCGGCAAUGGGCGCAAGCCUGACCGAGCGACGCCGCGUGUGCGAUGAAGGCCUUCGGGUUGUAAAGCACUGUCGAGGGGGAGGAAGCCGAAAGGUUGACCUAUCCCUGGAGGAAGGACGGGCUAAGUUCGUGCCAGCAGCCGCGGUAAGACGAACCGUCCUAACGUUGUUCGGAAUCACUGGGCUUAAAGGGCGCGUAGGCGGCUUGCCAAGUCAGGGGUGAAAUCCUGCAGCUUAACUGUAGAAGGGCCUUUGAUACUGGCGAGCUC
RNAcentral lists this ribosomal RNA (515 nucleotides) under uncultured Planctomycetota bacterium. RNAcentral describes it as "bacterial SSU rRNA". It matches the Rfam family "Bacterial small subunit ribosomal RNA", at positions 117 to 643 of the family's 1533-position model. Lineage: Bacteria; Pseudomonadati; Planctomycetota. The record is from RNAcentral.